Molecule: ribosomal RNA, 775 nt
Filed under: uncultured Neocallimastigales
Lineage: Eukaryota; Fungi; Neocallimastigomycota; Neocallimastigomycetes; Neocallimastigales
Description: partial large subunit ribosomal RNA
Rfam family: Eukaryotic large subunit ribosomal RNA
Source: RNAcentral
GUAGUCUCGCACAGAUGCAUAUCAAUAAGCGGAGGAAAAGAAACUAACAAGGAUUCCCCUAGUAACGGCGAGUGAAGCGGGAAGAGCUCAAAUUUGAAAUCUUAAAGGGUUUCCCUUUACGAAUUGUAGUUUAAAGAAGUGUUUUCUGUUGAGGUUUUGGUAAAAGUUCUUUGGAAUAGGACAUCAUAGAGGGUGAGAAUCCCGUAUUUGACCUUUAGCUCUCAACUUUGUGAUACACUUUCAAAGAGUCGGAUUGUUUGGGAAUGCAGUCCAAAAUGGGUGGUAAAUUUCAUCUAAAGCUAAAUAUUGGCGAGAGACCGAUAGCGAACAAGUACCGUGAGGGAAAGAUGAAAAGAACUUUGAAAAGAGAGUUAAACAGUACGUGAAAUUGUCAAAAGGGAAGCGUUUGACACCAGUGUUGUUUUUCUGAAAAUCAAUUAAAGAACUGUUUAUGCUAAGCUUGUUUAGACUUUAUCAGCUAUCUGUUUAGUUUUGAGCUUUUCUUUAAUGCACUUUUCAGUUAACAAGUCAACAUCAAUUUCUUUUGCUGUAAAAAAGCUUGAGGAAGGUGGCUUGAGAUUCGUCUUAAGUGUUUAUAGCCUCUUGCCUAUGCAGUCGGAGAGAUUGAGGUCUGCAGCGUAGAUCCUUCGGGGCUAAAUGCAUUUGUGCUAAGUUAUAGCAUUUAUAGACAACUUGUUGACUAUGAUUUGUCUUGUAGCUUACUCGCUUAUGUUAUUUUACCUACGCUUAGGAUGUUGACAGCAGUAUAGACUGU